GGCUUUGCGCAGUGGCAGUAUCGUAGCCAAUGAGGUUUAGCAGCGGCGUGAUUAUUACUAAUUGAAAACUUUUCCCAAUACCCCGCCAUGACAACUUGAAAUACAGUCGGCGUUGGCAAUUUUUGGCAGUCUCUACGGAGA
Aotus nancymaae (Ma's night monkey) is the source of this 141-nucleotide small nuclear RNA. Its record names the gene U4. It matches the Rfam family "U4 spliceosomal RNA". From Rfam's summary of the family: U4 small nuclear RNA (U4 snRNA) is a component of the major U2-dependent spliceosome. The structure of U4 snRNA from yeast and human has been reported. NCBI's taxonomy places the organism in Eukaryota, Metazoa, Chordata, Mammalia, Primates, Aotidae. The record is from Ensembl.